AUUGAACGCUGGCGGCAUGCCUUACACAUGCAAGUCGAACGGCAGCACGGGAGCAAUCCUGGUGGCGAGUGGCGAACGGGUGAGUAAUAUAUCGGAACGUGCCCGGUCGUGGGGAUAACGUAGCGAAAGCUACGCUAAUACCGCAUACGAUCUACGGAUGAAAGCGGGGGAUCGCAAGACCUCGCGCGAUUGGAGCGGCCGAUAUCAGAUUAGGUAGUUGGUGNGGUAAAGGCUCACCAAGCCGACGAUCUGUAGCUGGUCUGAGAGGACGACCAGCCGACACUGGGACUGAGACACGGCCCAGACUCCUAC
RNAcentral lists this ribosomal RNA (312 nucleotides) under uncultured bacterium. RNAcentral's name for it is "bacterial SSU rRNA". It matches the Rfam family "Bacterial small subunit ribosomal RNA", at positions 30 to 342 of the family's 1533-position model. The record is from RNAcentral.